UUUGGGUGAAUGGUAUUCAGUACAAGGGACAAGUUUGCCUACCUGUGUGUGGAUGGUGUUCAGCACCAAGGACAGGCAUGCUCGCUU
RNAcentral lists this microRNA precursor (87 nucleotides) under Branchiostoma floridae (Florida lancelet). RNAcentral's name for it is "mir-2060 microRNA precursor family". It matches the Rfam family "mir-2060 microRNA precursor family". The record is from Rfam by way of RNAcentral. Lineage: Eukaryota; Metazoa; Chordata; Leptocardii; Amphioxiformes; Branchiostomatidae.